GUGAGCAGACAAUUUCAAGCAUCAGUAUUGUUCCACAAGGAAUCUGCAGUGGCAUAUCCAACGAAUGUCGGAUACCGUCUGAUGGCAUCAAUUCCUCAUUCCGAAAACUACUUUCACUGAGGAGAGACUUUCACAAGAGCGAUACCAGAAUACCCAACAUUUAAAGGACGCGAUUUCGGCAAUCUUUGCAACAAUCACCAAAGCACAGCUUUGUAAAAUAUCACACAGGACAUGGCGCCGCAUCAUUUUGUGCCACGAAUAUGAUGAUGUUCAUACAGACCUUCUCAAUGUAUGAAAACGUCAAUGUCAACGAAAGAAAAUAUACUAAAAUGAAGACGCCAUUGCAAAAAAACAGUUCGAUCCGAUUUGCUAAAAGACCUAAUAUUGAAAUCAAGUUUAUUCAUAAUAAAGAG
This is a long non-coding RNA of Octopus bimaculoides (California two-spot octopus), 413 nucleotides long. RefSeq lists it as uncharacterized. The record is from RefSeq and is a predicted model, not a curated record. NCBI's taxonomy places the organism in Eukaryota, Metazoa, Mollusca, Cephalopoda, Octopoda, Octopodidae.